RNAcentral lists this transfer RNA (77 nucleotides) under bacterium. Its description in RNAcentral is "tRNA-Arg". It matches the Rfam family "tRNA". From Rfam's summary of the family: Transfer RNA (tRNA) molecules are approximately 80 nucleotides in length. Their secondary structure includes four short double-helical elements and three loops (D, anti-codon, and T loops). The record is from RNAcentral.
GCACCCGUAGCUCAGCGGAUUAGAGCAGGACGGUUCUAACGUCAAGGUCGUAGGUUCGAAUCCUACCGGGUGUACCA